This 160-nucleotide unclassified non-coding RNA is filed under the name Lasiodiplodia pseudotheobromae. RNAcentral's name for it is "internal transcribe space 2". The record is from RNAcentral. Lineage: Eukaryota; Fungi; Ascomycota; Dothideomycetes; Botryosphaeriales; Botryosphaeriaceae.
CAACCCUCAAGCUCUGCUUGGAAUUGGGCACCGUCCUCACUGCGGACGCGCCUCAAAGACCUCGGCGGUGGCUGUUCAGCCCUCAAGCGUAGUAGAAUACACCUCGCUUUGGAGUGGUUGGCGUCGCCCGCCGGACGAACCUUCUGAACUUUUCUCAAGG